Molecule: non-coding RNA, 106 nt
Organism: Gossypium hirsutum (cotton)
Lineage: Eukaryota; Viridiplantae; Streptophyta; Magnoliopsida; Malvales; Malvaceae
Source: Rfam
AUUUCGUGAUAAUGGCAUCUUCAUAAUAGUUUUUUAAAUUCUUCCCAUGCCUCAUACAAGGACUUAUCAUCCAUCUAUUAGAAGGUAGUGAUCUCAUUCCGCAACU